This 562-nucleotide ribosomal RNA is filed under the name Hepatozoon felis. RNAcentral's name for it is "bacterial SSU rRNA". It matches the Rfam family "Eukaryotic small subunit ribosomal RNA", at positions 252 to 806 of the family's 1831-position model. Lineage: Eukaryota; Apicomplexa; Hepatozoidae. The record is from RNAcentral.
UACCAUAACUUAGCAAAUCGCAUAGGGAAAACAGGCGAUAAAUCAUUCAAGGUUCUGACCUAUCAGCUUUCGACGCUCAUGGUAUUGCCUUACCGUGGGCAUAGUCGGAUAACGGGGGAUUAGGGUUCGAUUCCGGAGAGGGAGCCUGAGAAACGGCUACCACAUCUAAGGAAGGCAGCAGGCGCGCAAAUUACCCAAUUCUAACAGCAUAAGAGAGGNAGUGACAAGAAAUAACAAUACAAGGCAGUUAAAAUGCUUUGUAAUUGGAAUGAUAGAAAUUUAAACACUUUUUAAAGUAUCAAUUGGAGGGCAAGUCUGGUGCCAGCAGCCGCGGUAAUUCCAGCUCCAAUAGCGUAUAUUAAAAUUGUUGCAGUUAAAAAGCUCGUAGUUGAAUUUCUGCUAAAAAUAACCGGUCUGCUUUUAAUAAAGGUGGUAUCUUGGUGUGUUUUUAGCAAUAAUGUCCUUUGAAAUGUUUUUUACUUCAUUGUAAUAAAUUAUUUUCAGGAUUUUUACUUUGAGAAAAUUAGAGUGUUUCUAGCAGGCUAACGCUUUGAAUACUGCA